Long non-coding RNA from Vidua macroura (Pin-tailed whydah), 1908 nucleotides. RefSeq lists it as uncharacterized. The record is from RefSeq and is a predicted model, not a curated record. Lineage: Eukaryota; Metazoa; Chordata; Aves; Passeriformes; Viduidae. The transcript is spliced from 2 exons.
UUGCUGCUUUGGACCAGACCCUGCUCAAGCAGAGGUUCAGAGCUGUGAAGUGCUCAGGACCAUCCCCAGGCCCUUUCCUCUGGAGCUGCUCCACAACUCAGUGCACAGCCUGGAGCCAGGCUGGCAGAGGGAAGAUCUGGUCUGUGCCCAGAGCACCACGUCCCCUCCCUGCAGGGCGUUAACAAAGCUCUAAUGGAUACUGACGACUUUGUGUGGCUAAAACGAAUGAGAAUUCCGAGUCCAUGUGAAAACAUUUAUUUGAAGAAAUGUUCAUGUGAACAUUAAUGUAAAGACAACUUCAGCUUCUAAAGACUUUUUUGGGGUCAUACUCUUAAUAAAGAGUUGUGCUGGUUUUGCACCCAUCACAAGAGUAUUUAAAGAAUGGUGAGCAUUUUUGGCACUGUACUGUCAGUGUGUUGAUACAAUUUCCAUGUAUUUUAUUUGUUAUUACAGUUUUCCUUCAUUCCUGCCCCUCAGGUAGACAUGACAACAUUACCAGCUGAUAACAGUAAUUUUCAAUUGUAAUUACCAAUUGUUAUUAUCCAACCAUGACAUACAGUUUCUGCAUGAUAUGUCCUUAUAAUUUAAGGAUUUUGCAAUCAGACACAGCAGAUUGUGGAACUCUUGCAGUAUGUGACAGAAGAGAUGCUGUCAUUCUGUGUUACUUACUUCUGCCUCUCUUUGGCAUAGUGAUCUCUUUUACAUAAACCAAGGUGGAAAAUAUUGCCACUGUUCUUCUUCAAAAGAUUGUCCAUAUUCUGUUGGUAUAUAAACCUAUUGAAUGUUUGAGGGGUGAUGGGGACACAGAUCAUUAAGUUUAAACAAAGAACAGCAAUAUUUGUCAAUGGAAGCUGUAAAGAGAAGAAAGCAUAGCAACAAAUUAGGUCUAUAUUAUGUGGUUUCAAGGAUUCCUUAUGCACCCAGAAGUCCUGAUGCUGCUGCUUCUGCUUGCCUUGAGGACCUUCAGCUGUAGAAGCUUUUUUUUUUUUUGAGACCAGUGAACUUUGAAGUCUAUAAAACCAGAAAUACACAUCUGUUUGUAUGAUAGGACCUCCCUGAAUGUUACAACUGGAUGCCAUGUGGAGAACGCUUAGCUGAACAAGGAAACAUUUCAAAUACUGAGGAGGAGGUAAAUAUUCUGUAUCACUUUAUCCUGAAGUGCUUUUUCUCUUAGUCUAUUGGAAUUGUCCAUUUUAAACUGUAGGACAACUAGCAAAAAACCAAAUAAACUUACCCACUUUCAUCUUUCCAUUCAUUGGAACCUGCCAGGCUGUGCCAGUGAAUGGCUCUGCCCCACUAAGUAUUUCAGAUCCUCAGUGCAGGAAAACCAGUGAGCUUUUCAGUGUUUCUUAAAUGUUAGAAAUAGCUAGGGGUCAGACUGAAAGGGAUUCCUGUUGUGAAUUAGCCAGCGUCCCUAUUUUAUAGCGUGGCACUGAGGAUUGCAAUAUCAUAUUUCUCAGAUUAUUACAAGUGCAGUUUUGAGGUGAUGAGAGAAUAGCAGAGGUCAAGGGUGGAAGCUAGAUUAUAGUUCUAUUAGAGGAAGUGCUCAGUUCCAGAGUGCCAUAAUCAGACAAUGUUCUCCUGUAGCUGAAUUGUACUCAGGGAUUAUGCCUUGAGGAUGAAUAUUUGAAAUAAGGGGACUUGUGUUUCCUGUACCCAUUUUUAUCUAUUACCAGUGCUUACUCUAUGUUGAUUUCCUUAAUUGUAACCAUUUCCCAGGCCAUGACUUGAUUCUCAGGUCACUCUAAUUAAUAUGAUCUAGGUCCUUGUAACAGGGGAAACUUAAAGUUUGAAGAUACCAAGAGAUACCUGCUUGUUUUUCUCAUGUUUGCAGUAUUUGCUUUUGAAUUAACUGUUCUGAAGUAAUCUCUUCUCCCCUGUAUCUAAUAAAGUGAGUGAAUUACUUAA